RNAcentral lists this ribosomal RNA (3021 nucleotides) under Triticum aestivum (bread wheat). RNAcentral's name for it is "partial small subunit ribosomal RNA". Lineage: Eukaryota; Viridiplantae; Streptophyta; Magnoliopsida; Poales; Poaceae. The record is from RNAcentral.
AUGGAAGAGGUGGAGAAUUCCAGCAAGCGUAAAGCACCCGAGCUGAGCUCGGAGGACAAUUCCUCCGCUGCUGUUCUGGACGAGCAGCAGUCGCUGCCUGGCUCGACUGCCAAGCGUCCGAACCUCGCCCGGUCGUGCAUCCAUGAGGUCGCUGUCCCCAACGGCUACGAUUUGUCCAAGGAUGAGGCCGUACAUGGGACCCUUUCAAACCCUGCGUUUAAUGGGGAGAUGGCCAAGACAUACCCGUUUCAGCUCGACCCCUUCCAGAGCAUCUCCAUUGCGUGCCUGGAGCGGAACGAAUCUGUCUUGGUCUCGGCUCACACCUCUGCGGGGAAGACGGCCAUCGCUGAGUACGCCAUUGCAAUGUCGUUCAGAGACAAGCAGAGGGUGAUAUACACCUCUCCGUUGAAGGCUCUUAGUAAUCAGAAGUACAGGGAGCUUAGUCAGGAGUUCUCUGAUGUUGGAUUGAUGACUGGUGAUGUUACGCUUCAGCCAAAUGCUACUUGCCUGGUCAUGACAACAGAAAUCCUGAGGGCGAUGCUUUAUAGGGGCUCCGAGGUGAUCAAGGAAGUUGGUUGGGUUAUAUUUGAUGAGAUCCACUACAUGAAGGAUCGUGAGAGAGGCGUUGUGUGGGAAGAGAGUAUAGUUUUCCUGCCCCCUGCCAUCAAGAUGGUCUUUCUUUCUGCUACCAUGUCAAAUGCAACCGAGUUCGCUGAGUGGAUAUGCAAUCUGCACAAGCAGCCUUGUCAUGUGGUGUACACAGACUUCAGGCCAACACCGCUACAGCACUAUGUGUUCCCAAUAGGUGGGUCUGGUCUCUACCUUGUAGUGGAUGAAAAUGGUCAGUUCAGGGAGGAUAAUUUUCUAAAGCUGCAAGACACAUUUGCAAAGCAACCUAGUCAACCAGAUGGGAGGAAGGGCGGUGGGCCUAAAGCCAGUGGCCGAAUCGCAAAAGGUGGAAAUGCUUCUGGAACAUCUGACAUAUACAGAAUUGUCAAGAUGAUUAUGGACCGCAAGUUUCAACCAGUCAUAAUUUUCAGCUUUAGUAGAAGAGAAUGUGAGCAUCAUGCCAUGUCGAUGUCAAAACUUGAUUUCAACACUCAGGAAGAAAAGGAUAACAUUGAGCAGGUUUUCCGUAGUGCUAUUUUCUGUUUAAGUGAGGAAGAUAGAGGGUUACCUGCUAUAGAGUUGAUGUUGCCUCUUCUUAAACGAGGUAUUGCAGUACACCAUUCUGGACUGCUUCCAUUAAUUAAAGAGCUGGUGGAAUUGCUCUUCCAAGAAGGUCUUGUUAAAGCUCUUUUUGCUACUGAGACGUUUGCCAUGGGCCUGAACAUGCCUGCAAAAACAGUUGUCUUCACAUCUGUCAAGAAAUGGGACGGUGAUAGUAACCGCUAUAUUGCUUCUGGAGAAUAUAUACAGAUGAGUGGAAGAGCUGGUCGACGUGGCAUGGAUGCACGUGGUAUUUGUGUUAUAAUGAUUGAUGAGAAGAUGGAAAUGAGUGUUAUCAAGGACAUGGUGUUAGGUAAACCAGCGCCUCUCAUCAGUACUUUUCGACUGAGCUACUACACUAUUCUGAAUUUACUGAGUCGUGCGGAGGGCCAAUUUACUGCUGAACAUGUGAUCCGGAAUUCAUUCCACCAGUUUCAGUAUGAAAAGGCAUUACCUGAAGUCAUUCAGAAGAUUACAAAGUUGGAAAAUGAAGCUACAUUGCUGGACUCUUCUGGAGAGAAUGAUCUUGCCGAGUAUCACAAGUUAGGGCUUGAUAUAUCUGAACUUGAAAAGAAAAUCAUGUCUGAGAUGAUUAGACCAGAGAGAGCUUUGUUAUAUUUGGUCCCUGGAAGGCUGGUUAAAGUCAGAGAUGGCUCAACAGACUGGGGGUGGGGUGUGGUCGUAAAUGUUGUGAAGAAACCUCCAGCAUCUAGUACUCUCCCCCCUGCAUUAAGUGCACCUCGCAAUAACUAUAUAGUGGAUACCUUGCUUCAUUGUUCUUCAAGUUCAAGUGAGAAUGGAGCCAAUGGACCACGUUCAAAGCCAUGCCCACCUCGCCAAGGGGAGAAGGGAGAAAUGCAUGUGGUGCCUGUACCAUUACCUUUAUUAUCUGGUCUAAGCAGUGUUAGAAUCAGCAUUCCAACUGAUCUACGACCACCUGAAGCGAGACAAAACAUACUCUUUGCAGUUCAAGAACUAGGAAAACGUUACCCCCAAGGGCUUCCAAAGCUACAUCCAAUUACGGACAUGGGUAUUGAAGAACCUGAAUUAGUUGACUUGGUUCAUAAACUUGAUGGUCUCGAGCAGAAAUUAUGUUCUCAUCCACUUAAUAAGUCUGAUCAAAGUGAGCAGCAACUGUCAUGGUACCAAAGAAAGGCUGAACUGAAUCAUGAAAUUCAACAACUAAAGUCAAAGAUGCGGGAUUCACAGCUGCAAAAAUUUAGGGAUGAACUAAAGAACCGGUCUCGCGUUCUAAAGAUGCUUGGUCACAUUGACACGGAUGGUGUUCUCCAGCUAAAGGGACGUGCUGCCUGUUUAAUAGACACUGGGGAUGAGCUGCUUAUCACUGAACUUAUGUUCAACGGUACAUUUAAUGAACUUGAUCACCAUCAAGUUGCUUCUGUUGUUAGCUGCUUUGUACCGUGUGAGAAGUCAAGUGAGCAAAUACGCCUGAGAAAUGAGCUUUCUAAGCCAAUGAUGCAACUCUCGGAGGCUGCAAGAAAAAUAGCUGAGGUACAACGAGAAUGCAAAUUGGACGUAAAUGUGGAGGAAUACGUUGAAUCAACUUGUAAACCCUAUCUGAUGGAUGUCAUAUACUGCUGGUCAAAGGGCGCGACCUUUGGAGAGGUGAUAGAAAUGACUGACAUUUUUGAAGGAAGCAUCAUACGGCUAGUUAGGAGGCUGGAUGAAUUUCUAAAUCAGCUAAAAGCUGCUGCUGAAGCCGUUGGGGAGGUAAACCUUGAGAAGAAGUUUGGGUUGGCGAGCGAAAGCUUGCGUCGGGGUAUCAUGUUUGCCAACUCAUUGUACCUGUGA